This is a long non-coding RNA of Mauremys reevesii (Reeves's turtle), 3617 nucleotides long. RefSeq lists it as uncharacterized. NCBI's taxonomy places the organism in Eukaryota, Metazoa, Chordata, Testudines, Geoemydidae. The record is from RefSeq and is a predicted model, not a curated record. The transcript is spliced from 3 exons.
CCACCGCGAGCGGUGCAGGCCAAUCGAUGCAGCUGCGAAAGGCUGCUGAACUUAGCAGACCGCGAAGGGCGUCAGAGCAGGCAACUGCGAGGCACCGGGAGGCUUGAACUGUUUGGGGGCGGCCGCGCGGCGCAUCGCCGUUUUAAAUCCCUGGCAGGCGGCGUUCAGCAGGGGAUGGAGCUCCAGAAUCCCACGCCAAAAGCCGCGGGCUUCCUUGUUUGUACAUGGACCUUCCAGAGAACAAGAUUGGCAUCAACAUUCCCGCUGCACUAAGGAGAACUUUGCUCGACGUAUCUCACCUCUCAACGUUUGGUCCUCCUCUGUUGAGCAGCAUGGCAAGGUGGCGCUCAGGGUUCAUUUCCUUUGGACACCAAAAUCCAGAGGACCUGAUACUGCAAGGAUCCCCGAUGCCUCUUGAGAUGAAGGGGAUUGCUUCAUUAAAGUGCUGAGAAAAGGCCAGAGUAACGUGACUUGCCUGUUGAGAUUCUCUCAGAAGUUCCUCUGCUUUCCUUGGGGCUCCUCACACGUGAACUCCUGAAGAGUCAUUCGGCCUCAGCAGCCGUGCGACACCGUGGGCUCUGGGGUCAAAGACAUUUCUAGCCCACGAGGCAAUAAGGACAAUGGGGUUUAUUUUCCUCUUUGACGCAGCUUGGAAGCAAUGCACAUCCCAUCUUCUCUGGGCUGGAAGAAUUGUUUCACACUAGCAGGUUCAAGCUUCUUUGCUAGCUACGUGGACAUCGUUCUAAAAGCUUGACUCUUGUUCAGCCACAUGUUACUGGGUGGAAUUUUAUGGCCUGAAUUACUCAGGUCCGAUUCGAUUAUGCUAGUGGUCCUUCCUGGACAUAAAUGGAGGGAUAAUGUAAUAAAUUCUGGCUCAUGUUGGUUAACCUCCCCUAAAUCGCCACGCACACACAUUAAGGUGUAGGCAGUGCAACCUAGCGGUCAGAGCAGGAGUUUGGCCUAGUGGUCAGAGUAGACUCAGCAGGCAGAGCAGACAAGCCAAUGGUUGGAGCCAGAUGUCAGGACAGAACCAAACAGGAUAGCCUGAGUCGUGGUCAGGGGGCAAGCCAGUGGUCAGGACCAGAGGCAGGCAGGGACUAGGCUGGAGCAGAGCAGGCAAAUGGGGGAGGAUGGGCCAGACGGGAAGCAGGUGUGGUGCAGCUGCAGGCAUGGGACACACUGAGCAGCUGUUGCUACAGGGUUUCUAUGGUGAUCUGUUGGCCCUUUUGACCAACCAGGAAGCACAGUCACUUAGUGCAAGUUUAUUGGGCUCAGCCCAGCCUGGAGGUAGCUGAGUUCCUGGCACACAUGUUGCAAAAGUGACAAUAUCAUGUGUUCACCUGCUAUGAUGUCACCAACGCUCAUGGCUUUAACACGCGUGUCACAAUGGUUCGUCUUUGUCUUGAAGCUCCAGCUCCUGGAAUCAUGGGGUUAAAUGUUCAUUAAAAAAAUCAAAGCAAGUUUCUAGCUCUCGGGUUUGCGCAGAACAGCUUGAAAAUAUGACCCAACUGCAUCUAAAAGGCUCACAAUCUAGCAGGCAAAUAAAAAGAACCCAUUUAAAAAAAAUGCAUGAAUUUUAUGUCAGUCUCAUGAUUUUAAAGCGUGUGACUUUUGAUGUGUAUAUAUUUGGGGUUGGCACUGUUGGCCCAGCCCGACACAAAGCUCACUUGAACAUUGUAAUGCUAGGAGUAGGAAUAAUUUAAGGAGCAGUUACAUGCUCCAGGCAAUUGCAUAUGUGGGGAAAUGACUUUCCCCCUUCAUUGGUUAAGCUGCUGGGCUUUCAGCAUAAGGGAGUUCCAUGUAAACCAAAGUUCAGAGAAGGUUUGUUUAGAAAGGCGAGGGAAGUGAACGAGCAGAAAAGGCUCAGUUUCAUCAUGAUCCAAUUCCUUCCAUGACUGUGCCAUGGAAUACCCACAACUUGGGGAGGAAGCAGGAUCAAGGCAACCUGUUUUCUGCUAUGCAUUGCAGGUGCUGCAGUCACCAGUCAGAAUCUGGCUCAGAACCUUCAGGCUGCAGCUAAGUCUUGCCAAAGUCAUUUCCCACAUUGUCUGAAAGUUAAUGCGCUCACUUACGUUUUUUUCUUUUUAGCAUAUUGGCUUAAUCCGUCAAAUAUCAAAUAUCACGGGAAAUACCAAGAUUAAUGUAAUAUAACUAUUGGCCUUUAUAUGUUCAGGAUCUUUUCCUGGGGUUAUUAAUGUCUUUGCAAGGGGAAUUCAGGGACACAGGCCUUCUCUUGUCAAACGUCUAAGUGGAAUUUUCAGAGAAAAGAGAAGCAGGUAUUUCAAUGAUGUCGUACAAUGCCUGGAUCAAAAUUGAAAAUACCAUUGUCUCAUUUGCACAUGGUAUUCUGGUUAUCUUAUGACACAACGAGGAAGUAGACACAAGCCAGCAUUUUUCACAGGUUACCCAUGAGAAGAUGGAGGCGAGAGAUUAAGUGACUUGCCCCAGGGCAGAGAUCUAGGAGCCAGGAUCCGAACGCGGGAGUUCCUGGCAUGCAGCCCUAUGCUCAGCCCUCCCACCACUCUAGCAUUCUUUGUCUGUUUUAAAAUUGGUUAUAGAUGCUAAGCAGUGAAUCAGCUACUACAAUGGGAAUGGUGGGCUGUUGGUAAAUUGUUUUCAUUCUAUUUCUAGCAAUAGUAACUACCUGAUGGAAAGCAGUUAGAUACUAUACAAAGAAAAAAAUAUUGUGGUUUGAGCCAUUACCAGUUCAUGUUUUACGAGUGCUAAUUUAAAAAAAUAAUAAUUUCUUCUCCUCUUUAUAGAUUGGGUUUUAAUGUGAGGAUAUUUAGGUUUUUUUUGUUCAAUUGUAUUCAGGGCCGGCUCCAGGCACCAGUGAAGGAAACAGGUGCCUGGGGCAGCCAAUAGAAAGGGGCGGCACUCCAUCCGGUAGUGGGGUGGCACAUCAGGGUUAUCAUCAGCUGAUCAAGCGCUUUGCAUUAGUCGUCGGCGGCAAUUCGGUGGCGGGUCCUUCACUCCGUCUUUUCUUCUUUGGUGGCACUUCGGCGGGAGCUCAAUCGCUUUUUUGUUUUGUUUUUUCCUGCCGCUUCAGGAGGUAAAAAAGCUGGAGCCGGCCCUGAUUGUAUUAAUUAGAAAUUGAUUUCAAAUGACUGUUAACCAUAUAACUGGCCUGUGGCUAGUCUAAGUAUUUGUACUUAGGAACAUUAAAAGCAACUUCGUUAUCAUGAAGUGCCUCAGAAAAUUCAAAAUCUCCUCGCUGAUUUAUGUGGGCCUUUAUUAGUUAUUAUUGCAUGGCACUGGCAGCCAGGGGCCCUGGUUAAGGAUCACCCCAUUGUGUCAGGUGCUGUACAGACAUAUAGGCAGAAGACUGCCCCCCAAGAGCCCACAAGCUAGGUUAUGAGAAAGUGUAACAGGUGGGUGAGAAAAACAAAUGAGGGCAUGGGGACAGGGAGCACACGAUACCAGUAAAGUAAAUUAUAUUGCAUCGUCAUUCUGAUAGCCAUCGUUUAUACCAUGGGCAACAAUAAUCAUGCACACGCAAUAGCCAGAUUCGCUGAUCUUUCACGCAAAACUAAACUGGAGCUGGAGCUGGAGCUACGAAACAUUUUUCAUGCAAUUUUCUUUUUUUUUUUUUUUUUGGCAAAAAGGGUAAUUACAGA